CCUACGGGAGGCAGCAGUCGGGAAUAUUGCGCAAUGGAGGAAACUCUGACGCAGUGACGCCGCGUAUAGGAAGGAGGUUUUCGGAUUGUUAACUCUUGUCGAUGGGGGAGCGAAUGGACAGUACCUAAGGAGGAAGCUCUGGCUAACUACGUGCCAGCAGCCGCGGUAAUACGUAGGGAGCGAGCGUUAUCCGGAAUGAUUUGGCGUAAAGGGUGGGUAGCCGGGAAUGCAAGUUAGUUGUGAAAUCCCUCGGCUUAACUGAGGAACUGCAACUAAAACUACAUUUCUAGAGUGCAGGAGAGGUAAGUGGAAUUCCUAGUGUAGCGGUGAAAUGCGUAGAUAUUAGGAGGAACACCAGUGGCGAAGGCGGCUUACUGGACUGUAACUGACGUUGAGGCACGAAAGCGUGGGGAGCAAACGGGAUUAGAUACCCGAGUAGUC
Molecule: ribosomal RNA, 441 nt
Filed under: uncultured bacterium
Lineage: Bacteria
Description: partial 16S ribosomal RNA
Rfam family: Bacterial small subunit ribosomal RNA
Source: RNAcentral